Molecule: ribosomal RNA, 425 nt
Filed under: uncultured bacterium
Lineage: Bacteria
Description: bacterial SSU rRNA
Rfam family: Bacterial small subunit ribosomal RNA
Source: RNAcentral
UGGGGAAUUUUGGACAAUGGGCGCAAGCCUGAUCCAGCAAUGCCGCGUGCAGGAUGAAGGCCUUCGGGUUGUAAACUGCUUUUGUACGGAGCGAAAAGGUCUGCCCUAAUACGGUGGGCUCAUGACGGUACGGUAAGAAUAAGCACCGGCUAACAACGUGCCAGCAGCCGCGGUAAGACGUAGGGUGCAAGCGGUAAUCGGAAUUACUGGGCGUAAAGCGUGCGCAGGCGGGUAUGCAAGACAGAGGAAAUCCCCGGGCUCAACCUGGGAACUGCAUUUGUGACUGCAUAGCUAGAGUCCGGUAGAGGGGGGUGGAAUUCCGCGUGUAGCAGUGAAAUCCGUAGAUCUGCGGAGGAACACCGAUGGCGAAGGCAAUCCCCUGGACCUGUACUGACGCUCAUGCACGAAAGCGUUGGGAGCAAACC